Molecule: unclassified non-coding RNA, 229 nt
Filed under: plant metagenome
Description: partial contains small subunit ribosomal RNA, internal transcribed spacer 1, and 5.8S ribosomal RNA
Source: RNAcentral
UCUCCGUAGGUGAACCUGCGGAGGGAUCAUUACAGAGUUCAUGCCCUACCGGGUAGAUCUCCCACCCUAUGUUAUUAUUACUGUGUUGCUUUGGCGGGCCGUUAGGCUCCGGCCCGACUACCGGCCCCGGCUGGUAAGCGCCCGCCAGAGGACCCAAAACCCUGAAUAUUAGUGUCGUAUGAGUACUAUAUAAUAGUUAAAACUUUCAACAACGGAUCUCUUGGUUCUG